GAUGAACGCUAGCGGGAGGCUUAACACAUGCAAGUCGAGGGGCAGCAUAGGGUAGCAAUACUCUGAUGGCGACCGGCAAACGGGUGAGUAACGCGUAUGCAACCUACCCUGUACAGGGGGAUAACCCGGAGAAAUUCGGACUAAUAUCCCGUAAUAAUAUCCGGAGGCAUCUUUGGAUAUUUAAAGUUCCGACGGUACGGGAUGGGCAUGCGUAACAUUAACUGGUUGGUAAGGUAACGGCUUACCAAGGCUAUGAUGUUUAGGGGUCCUGAGAGGGUGGUCCCCCACACUGGUACUGAGACACGGACCAGACUCCUACGGGAGGCAGCAGUGAGGAAUAUUGGUCAAUGGGCGCAAGCCUGAACCAGCCAUCCCGCGUGCAGGAAGACGGCCCUAUGGGUUGUAAACUGCUUUUCCAGGGAGAGAAACUUACGCACGUGUUGCGUGACUGACGGUACCCUGGGAAUAAGCAUCGGCUAACUCCGUGCCAGCAGCCGCGGUAAACUACUCGUA
RNAcentral lists this ribosomal RNA (513 nucleotides) under uncultured bacterium. Its description in RNAcentral is "bacterial SSU rRNA". It matches the Rfam family "Bacterial small subunit ribosomal RNA", at positions 28 to 529 of the family's 1533-position model. The record is from RNAcentral.